This 460-nucleotide ribosomal RNA is filed under the name uncultured bacterium. RNAcentral describes it as "partial 16S ribosomal RNA". It matches the Rfam family "Bacterial small subunit ribosomal RNA", at positions 338 to 795 of the family's 1533-position model. The record is from RNAcentral.
CCUACGGGUGGCAGCAGUGAGGAAUAUUGGUCAAUGGGCGCGAGCCUGAACCAGCCAAGUAGCGUGAAGGAUGACUGCCCUACGGGUUGUAAACUUCUUUUAUGAAGGAAUAAAGUGCGGCACGUGUGCCUUUUUGUAUGUACUUUAUGAAUAAGGAUCGGCUAACUCCGUGCCAGCAGCCGCGGUAAUACGGAGGAUCCGAGCGUUAUCCGGAUUUAUUGGGUUUAAAGGGAGCGUAGAUGGGUUGUUAAGUCAGUUGUGAAAGUUUGUGGCUCAACCAUAAAAUUGCAAUUGAUACUGGCAGGCUUGAGUACAGGUGAGGUAGGCGGAAUUCGUGGUGUAGCGGUGAAAUGCUUAGAUAUCACGAAGAACUCCGAUUGCGAAGGCAGCUUACUAAACUGCUACUGACAUUGAUGCUCGAAAGUGUGGGUAUCAAACAGGAUUAGAUACCCGGGUAGUC